RNAcentral lists this transfer RNA (73 nucleotides) under Pseudomonas phage pf16. It matches the Rfam family "tRNA". Rfam says of the family: Transfer RNA (tRNA) molecules are approximately 80 nucleotides in length. Their secondary structure includes four short double-helical elements and three loops (D, anti-codon, and T loops). Lineage: Duplodnaviria; Heunggongvirae; Uroviricota; Caudoviricetes. The record is from Rfam by way of RNAcentral.
ACGUCAGUAGUUCAAUUGGCAGAAUGGCGGAUUCCAAAUCCGUUGGUUGUAGGUUCGACUCCUACCUGGCGUC